Molecule: ribosomal RNA, 439 nt
Filed under: uncultured bacterium
Lineage: Bacteria
Description: partial 16S ribosomal RNA
Rfam family: Bacterial small subunit ribosomal RNA
Source: RNAcentral
CUACGGGAGGCAGCAGUGGGGAAUAUUGGACAAUGGGCGAAAGCCUGAUCCAGCAAUGCCGCGUGAGUGAUGAAGGCCUUAGGGUUGUAAAGCUCUUUUACCCGGGAUGAUAAUGACAGUACCGGGAGAAUAAGCUCCGGCUAACUCCGUGCCAGCAGCCGCGGUAAUACGGAGGGAGCUAGCGUUGUUCGGAAUUACUGGGCGUAAAGCGCACGUAGGCGGCUUUGUAAGUUAGAGGUGAAAGCCUGGAGCUCAACUCCAGAAUUGCCUUUAAGACUGCAUCGCCCGAAUCCAGGAGAGGUCAGUGGAAUUCCGAGUGUAGAGGUGAAAUUCGUAGAUAUUCGGAAGAACACCAGUGGCGAAGGCGGCUGACUGGACUGGUAUUGACGCUGAGGUGCGAAAGCGUGGGGAGCAAACAGGAUUAGAUACCCUUGUAGUC